GGGAUGGGCUUUGUGCCUUUACUGUCCUUUUUCGUCCUGCUAAUGACCGAUCUCUAACAAAAUAGGCCCAACUCUAGGUCUUGUAGCCAUCAAACGACCCAAAUGUGUAUGCUCUUUAGCGGAACAAAGAAAAAAGAAACAAAAAUCGACAACAACAAAUGGAGGAACAAAGUUUUCCUUUUUUUUUUUUUUUUCUAAUUCAGUCUAUCAUUCUGACUUGAAAAUGAAUGUAAAAAUCACAUGUAUUUUGAAAAAUUCAUGUUUGAGAAAAUGUUUGUUUAAUAAACUAGGUUUGAGAAUAUUACUUUGACCCAAUUUAAAGAAAAAACUUUAUCCUAUGUGGCUUGAGCUAUAUCGUCCAAUGGCAGAUCGUAAUAAGAUCUUGCCGAUCCCUAUUGACAACUUUGAUAAUAAAAAACAGGAGAAAAAGCUUUUCUGUCAACAAGCUGGUGUCCUCAUUGAGCUUCAGGGCCAACUUUCUAUCAAUGUCAGACGAUUCACAGAACCCAUGGAGUGCCCAAAUACAACCAAUUGUCGGUUGACCUAGAAAGACCUAACAGAUGGCCCAUGAAUACUCUUCUCAAAUUUUCAUAAGAAAUUGAAGAACUCCUGAAAGGCCAUAUAUCAUUUGACCCAAAAAAGGGCAUGUCCUUCAAGAUAACCCAGCCAGCUCCCACACAUUACAAAGGCUUGUUGGCAUCAGACAGCCAGACAACCCAACAACCUAGCAACCUUAGAC
Molecule: long non-coding RNA, 739 nt
Filed under: Betula platyphylla (Asian white birch)
Lineage: Eukaryota; Viridiplantae; Streptophyta; Magnoliopsida; Fagales; Betulaceae
Description: salt induced long non-coding RNA 9
Source: RNAcentral